Molecule: ribosomal RNA, 212 nt
Filed under: uncultured bacterium
Lineage: Bacteria
Description: partial 16S ribosomal RNA
Rfam family: Bacterial small subunit ribosomal RNA
Source: RNAcentral
CAGUUCGGAUUGAAGGCUGAAAUUCGCCUUCCAUGAAGCCGGAAUUGCUAGUAAUGGCAGGUCAGCAUACUGCCGUGAAUACGUUCCCGGGCCUUGUACACACCGCCCGUCACACCAUGAGAGUUGGGAAUACCCGAAGCCUGUGAGCUAACGUUAAGAGGCAGCAGUCGAAGGUAGAAUCAAUGAUUGGGGUGAAGUCGUAACAAGGUAUC